ACGGGUGAGUAAUACAUCGGAACGUGUCCUGUAGUGGGGGAUAGCCCGGCGAAAGCCGGAUUAAUACCGCAUACGAUCUACGGAAGAAAGCGGGGGACCGAAAGGCCUCGCGCUAUAGGGGCGGCCGAUGGCAGAUUAGCUAGUUGGUGGGGUAAAGGCCUACCAAGGCGACGAUCUGUAGCUGGUCUGAGAGGACGACCAGCCACACUGGGACUGAGACACGGCCCAGACUCCUACGGGAGGCAGCAGUGGGGAAUUUUGGACAAUGGGGGAAACCCUGAUCCAGCAAUGCCGCGUGUGUGAAGAAGGCCUUCGGGUUGUAAAGCACUUUUGUCCGGAAAGAAAACUUCUGCCCUAAUACGGUGGGAGGAUGACGGUACCGGAAGAAUAAGCACCGGCUAACUACGUGCCAGCAGCCGCGG
RNAcentral lists this ribosomal RNA (422 nucleotides) under uncultured bacterium. Its description in RNAcentral is "bacterial SSU rRNA". It matches the Rfam family "Bacterial small subunit ribosomal RNA", at positions 102 to 520 of the family's 1533-position model. The record is from RNAcentral.